RNAcentral lists this ribosomal RNA (330 nucleotides) under uncultured eukaryote. RNAcentral describes it as "partial 18S ribosomal RNA". It matches the Rfam family "Eukaryotic small subunit ribosomal RNA", at positions 1470 to 1796 of the family's 1831-position model. The record is from RNAcentral.
CCCUUAGAUGUUCGGGGCCGCACGCGCGCUACACUGAAGGAAUCAGCACGUCUUUCUCCUUGUCCGAAAGGACUGGGUAACCAGCUGAACCUCCUUCGUGCUAGGGAUUGGGGCUUGUAAUUCUUCCCCAUGAACGAGGAAUUCCCAGUAAGCGCGAGUCAUAAGCUCGCGUUGAUUACGUCCCUGCCCUUUGUACACACCGCCCGUCGCUACUACCGAUUGGAUGGUUUAGUGAGAUCCUCGGAUUGGUCCCGGCGCGGCCUCUGGUCGUGCCGGAGUGCCGAAAAGAAUGUCGAACUUGAUCAUCUAGAGGAAGUAAAAGUCGUAACA